Dermacentor andersoni is the source of this 373-nucleotide non-coding RNA. The record is from RefSeq and is a predicted model, not a curated record. Lineage: Eukaryota; Metazoa; Arthropoda; Arachnida; Ixodida; Ixodidae.
CGAGCACCAAGAGUGGACGCGGUGGACGGCAACACAGUCACCCUCAGGUUGGCUCCUGUCGACUUCCGCAACGGGCCAUUGACUGCCUACUACUUGCUCGUCGUGAAGAAAGUACACGAAGUUGUGGCACCCAUAAGGCUUCUCAACAUCAGUUCGGCGGAAGACUCGUACCUCGGUUACUACGUGGGAGCCAGUUUCACACCGGAGGAAGUCGGCGACGGGAUACGGUUCGUCGUAGGUGCUGGAGACACCGUCGGCGGCUUCGCAAAUCCUCCACUCGAAGCCGGUGCUCCGUACAGCUUCGGAUGGGCAGCCGAGACGAAUUUCUCGGGUGAAACCCUGUACGGCUACCGGCUCACCGCGCCAAUAAUCG